This 300-nucleotide ribosomal RNA is filed under the name uncultured bacterium. RNAcentral describes it as "bacterial SSU rRNA". It matches the Rfam family "Bacterial small subunit ribosomal RNA", at positions 525 to 824 of the family's 1533-position model. The record is from RNAcentral.
ACGUAGGGUGCAAGCGUUAAUCGGAAUUACUGGGCGUAAAGCGUGCGCAGGCGGUUAUGCAAGACAGAUGUGAAAUCCCCGGGCUUAACCUGGGAACUGCAUUUGUGACUGCAAGGCUAGAGUACGGCAGAGGGGGGUAGAAUUCCACGUGUAGCAGUGAAAUGCGUAGAUAUGUGGAGGAAUACCGAUGGCGAAGGCAGCCCCCUGGGUCGAUACUGACGCUCAUGCACGAAAGCGUGGGGAGCAAACAGGAUUAGAUACCCUGGUAGUCCACGCCCUAAACGAUGUCAACUAGGUGUU